UGAGGAAUCUUGCGCAAUGGGGGAAACCCUGACGCAGCGACACCGCGUGCGGGAGGAAGGCCUUCGGGUCGUAAACCGCUUUUCUGGAGGACGAGAGAGGACGGUACUCCAGGAAUAAGUCCCGGCUAACUACGUGCCAGCAGCCGCGGUAAAACGUAGGGGGCGAGCGUUAUCCGGAAUUACUGGGCGUAAAGGGCGUCUAGGCGGCGGCCUAAGUCUCGCGUGAAAGCUCCCGGCUCAACUGGGAGAGGGCGCGGGAAACUGGGUGGCUAGAGACUCGGAGAGGGGUGUGGAAUUCCCGGUGGAGUGGUGAUAUGCGUUGAGAUCGGGAGGAACACCAGUGGCGAAGGCGGCACCCUGGCCGAGGUCUGACGCUGAAGCGCGACAGCGUGGGGAGCAAACGGGAUUAGAUACCCCCGUAGUCC
This 425-nucleotide ribosomal RNA is filed under the name uncultured prokaryote. Its description in RNAcentral is "bacterial SSU rRNA". It matches the Rfam family "Bacterial small subunit ribosomal RNA", at positions 355 to 796 of the family's 1533-position model. The record is from RNAcentral.